UACAGAGGGGGCAAGCGUUGUUCGGAAUUACUGGGCGUAAAGGGCGCGUAGGCGGCCUGUUAAGUCGAACGUGAAAUCCCCGGGCUCAACCCGGGAACUGCGUCCGAUACUGGCAGGCUUGAAUCCGGGAGAGGGAUGUGGAAUUCCAGGUGUAGCGGUGAAAUGCGUAGAUAUCUGGAGGAACACCGGUGGCGAAGGCGGCAUCCUGGACCGGUAUUGACGCUGAGGCGCGAAAGCCAGGGGAGCAAACAGG
Molecule: ribosomal RNA, 253 nt
Filed under: uncultured bacterium
Lineage: Bacteria
Description: partial 16S ribosomal RNA
Rfam family: Bacterial small subunit ribosomal RNA
Source: RNAcentral